Molecule: non-coding RNA, 353 nt
Organism: Picea glauca (white spruce)
Lineage: Eukaryota; Viridiplantae; Streptophyta; Pinopsida; Pinales; Pinaceae
Source: Rfam
CUAUCCUAAGAUAUGGGGAAUCCUUGUAUCAAGGGUGCACUCUGCAUGAACAUUGAAAGAUAAUUGGGUUGAUAUUCCCGAACCAGGACAUGGUGGUGGACGACAUAGUUAGGAAAUCUGGAGAUGUCAUCAGGGGCCUGGGAAGAGUUAUCGUUUCUUUUUAAUGACUUUCCCACCCUGAAAUUGAGUCAACUGGAGAUAGGGUCCAACAUAUGAAAGAGAACCACAUGUCUUGCGGUGUUUGGUGACCCCUUGAUGGCCAUUGUAAAUAUGGUGAACCGAGUACCAUCCAUGCCCAAUCGUACUCAUAUCUGCUUCCUUGGAUUUUUCAAUGUCCACUAGGUUAGCGAUCU